UACUCAAAAAUCCCAAAUUGAGGGAAUCAAAUCCCUAAUCGGAAAUCAGCCGUCCGUUCUCUCUACUCAGCGUCGGCCGGUCACUACUCCGGUCGGCGUCUACCUCAAGCCGUCGGAAGACCGUUCCUCCUUCUCAUUCUCCCUCUCUCUCUUUCUCUCUGCUGCAUCGCAGCGGUGUAGCUCCACCGCCAGCCGCCAGCUCUGGAGCGACGACGAGCCGGCGUCACCUCCGUCACACAGCCAGCGCUGCUGUCUCGACACCCCUUCGCCGUUUACUGCUGCUGCGCCGGGACUAGCCCGUCGAGCAGUUCGAGCUCACGGAGCUUCUUUCCGUCGUCGUUCAGAGUCUCCGAUGGCUCCUUCCUAAGCUAAGUCUUCCUAUCUUAGCUAUUUAGGUGGUUUCUUUAGGCAAAGUCUGUUCUUGUUUCAUAGUUUUAGAUUUAGGCAGAUUGUAGCUGCUCUUCGAAGAAAUCGGCAGAUUGGAUAAUCUGGACUUUUGGCUUACAGUUUUGAACUUAUUUCUUACUGAUUGUGAGGGGUUAACAUUACUUUAAGGAACUUGUGUACACGUAGUGGUUUCUAUGUUUUGAGUGUUGAGCACUUCUUAGCUACUAAGUUUGAGACAGAAGGAAGCAGUAUGUUGUUUCUCUUGUGUCUUUAUGAAGUAAAGCUCUAACCAUGUUUGUGCUUGGUUACACAAAUAGGAUAUACAUAUCAGCUCCACUUAGUCAAAUAGGCUACUUCCCUCAUACAGGUACCUACCAUGAUAUAAAUUGGGCCAACAGGAGAGGCCCAACUUUCACAUAUUUAUGUACACUAACAUUUGUAAAUCAUGGAUGCUUAAUACGUAUAAAAACAAUUCUUAUUAAAGCCAUAGUCAACACUUGUAUUCUCUUAUGUUAGUGUAUUUUAUUUAAUACGAAGAAAUAAACACGAAUUCAUUUUAGUUCA
Salvia hispanica is the source of this 951-nucleotide long non-coding RNA. RefSeq lists it as uncharacterized. Lineage: Eukaryota; Viridiplantae; Streptophyta; Magnoliopsida; Lamiales; Lamiaceae. The record is from RefSeq and is a predicted model, not a curated record.